Molecule: ribosomal RNA, 236 nt
Filed under: uncultured bacterium
Lineage: Bacteria
Description: partial 16S ribosomal RNA
Rfam family: Bacterial small subunit ribosomal RNA
Source: RNAcentral
UGAGGAACAUGACCUUCGGCGGGGGAUAGCCGGCCCAACGGCCGGGUAAUACCGCGUACGACCACUUUGGGACAUCCCUAGGUGGUGAAAGCAGCAAUGCGCCGAUGGAGUGCCUCGCGGCCUAUCAGCUAGUUGGUGAGGUAACGGCUCACCAAAGCAACGAUGCGUAGCCGACCUGAGAGGGUGAUCGGCCANAUUGGAACUGAGACACGGUCCAGACCUCCGUACGGGAGCAG